Molecule: long non-coding RNA, 1837 nt
Organism: Canis lupus familiaris (dog)
Lineage: Eukaryota; Metazoa; Chordata; Mammalia; Carnivora; Canidae
Exons: 2
Source: RefSeq, a predicted model, not a curated record
UGCAGCGGGGCGGGCGGGGAGCGCGGAUCCCGGAGAGGGCGCUGCGGACCGGGCGGGGAGCGCGGAUCCCGGGCGGAGGCAGGCUGGACAGGGUUGCGCGGAUCCCGGGGAAAAGUGCAUCUGGGGAGCCCGACCCGAGGUUCCUUGGAGAUGUCCAGUACGGCAUUUGCCAGCCCAAGUCCUUUAUGCGGAAAACUGCCCCCCAUCCCUCUCUGCGCCCAGCGGCUAGGAGCGGGCUGUUCCCUCUUCCCCCAGCUGAUUGGGCCGCAGGAGGACAUCUGAUCCUAGGGCAGCCCACCCAUUACUUUGCCUCGUUUGGAAAGAUGAUCUGGCCAAUCAGAUUCUCGUUCUCACAGUUCAACCAAGGAAGUGCUGAGAAAGUCAACUAAGAGGUGGUCUUGCCGGAUGGCUGUGGCUGUGGGAGCGAAGUAAGCCGGAGUCGGAUGGUAGAGGAAGGCUGGCGCAGACCCGGGGGUAACCAGGUACUAGGGGUAAGGGUGGCACGUGGAGAAACCUCUGUGAAACCCACAGCUGCCUGGGUCUGCACUUCCCAGGCUGGGAUGUCUAGACCUUCCUGGAUUUCUGUGUCUGUAGCCUCUUAAUAAUGUUUCUUGAGAGAAUUGGAGUGAGUGUAUUUCAUCCUCGGUAACCCGAAUGACUGGGCCGGUUCCUAAGGCCGAAAUUACAUAACAAAUAGGAACACAUUUAAGGUCUUGAUGCUCUGCAAAAUUGCUUUUCAAAAAUCCACCAACACGUGAGUGGAAGUCACGUUGGUCUGUUUUCUGCGCUAGCUUUGACAGAAGGAAGCUCCAAGUGCAACGUUAGGAGCACCCAAUCUCCAUUGUCUGUUCUGUAACUGCUUGGCCCUCUCCCCCAAGGCAGGCUCCCUCAGACCCCUGGGGUCCCCCCCUCCCCCCGCCCCGCACCAUUGUUCAUCGGAGUGGUUAGCACAUUCCAUUUCUUCAGCUCUAAGAACAGACUGCCACCAGCUAUUACCGAUCACCUGACUUCUCGCCCAUUUGUAGCUCGUGUUAUACUUGGAACUUUGACUUGUCCUGAAACGUGUUACUUGGGUACAGUCCAGUCAGGACCUGACCUCAGUAAGUUUAACAUUUUAAUCGAUCCCAACUUCAGCAUGUUUAUAGUCCAAUGUUGACCAUGCAGAAUAACACCUAAGGAAAGUAAUUCCUCUUUAUCACCUCACUGUAAAUCUCUGAGAGUGUAAAUUCUACUUAAGACUUUAAAAGCACCACUACGUGCUAGGGCCCACCCCUUUGUGUGUAUACCCUUUAGGACAGCAGAGAUGAUGUGUACACAUAAAUUAGAGGUGCAUGACUCAUCCCCCCCUAAUUCUCUUCAACACCUUCACAUAAUAUAUCAAAAUAAAUCCCAAAGGAAUACAAUGCCCACGAAAAUUAUUUCUUUUUUUUUUUCAAGAUUUUAAGUGAACUCUUUACCCACUGUGGGGCUCAGACUCACCACCCCAAGAUCAAGAGUCACAUGCUCCGCCAACGGAGCCAGCCAGGUGCCCCGAAAAUUAUUUUCUUUAUUAUUCACUGUUUGACUUCCUACCAUAUACUACUUUGCAACAUAGUCCUUAUACUAAAUUAUUAUUGCAAAUCUUGAUUCUUUGCAUUUAACUUUUAACCAAAGAAUUUGACAUAACAAUGAGUUAAGAUAACAAUAACUUAUAAAUAGUUACAUGGAUGAUGGCUAAGACUUGACUGCAGAGUUUAGAGUCUUAUUUGAUCACUGGAUUGCACUUGCCAGUGUGAUAAAAAAAAAAUAUAUAUAUAUAUAUAUAUAUACACACACACAUGCACACACACGCACAUCU